Biomphalaria glabrata is the source of this 1172-nucleotide long non-coding RNA. RefSeq lists it as uncharacterized. The record is from RefSeq and is a predicted model, not a curated record. NCBI's taxonomy places the organism in Eukaryota, Metazoa, Mollusca, Gastropoda, Planorbidae. The transcript has 3 exons.
AUUAUUAAUGCAAUGGGCUUGAAUGGGUAAUUUAUCAUGAAGAAUAAUCUUUUGAAAAGAAAACCCUAAAUUCUGUUUCAUUUUGACCGGGGCUGCUCUGUCUAAUUGUAAACCAUGUGGCGGCCAUGUUCAUGAUUUAAUGUAACAAUAAAUUAUCUUUUUCCUCUAAAUCUAGAUUAUCAGUUCAAAAUCUUCUACUCGACGUCUAUAUCUAUAAAUCCUUUAUAACUAGUUCAGUCCUAGUCUAAAAACCAAUGUUACGACUCAAUUCAAUAAUUCAUGUUGAUGGGUCUAGACUGAAUCGAUUUAGGAUAAUUUAUCUUAUCGUAAUUACUAAUUUUAUUAGAUUUAUUUAAAUAGAACUAAUAAUUUAAAAUUUAGAUAGAUCUAUCUAGACUAGUUACUAGAUCUAUAGAAAUUCUCAAUCAAGAUUAUCUAAAUCUAUAUAGAUCAAGAAGAAGAACAGUUUAAAGAAAAUAAUACCAGGGUUAUGCUCCUUUCACCGUUGAGCUCCAGGAUGAAGAAUGAAAGACAGAGAGCAAUGUGAAGACAUCAAAGAAUGUGCAGGUCUGCCAUGAAAUGGUUUAUCCAGGGCUAAGUACAGAGAGGAAUAUAAAAGGGCUGUUGACUGAUCUUGUGUGGUGCCCCCAUGGCUCAACAGACUGAUUGAUAGGUAAUGAAAAGAAUUUAAUGUAUUUUGUAAAAAAAUUAUGAAAAUUGGUGUUAAUUACAUUAAGAGACUUAAUCACUUUUUUUUAUUUCCAGAAAAUAAUACCAGGGUUAUGUUCCUUUCACUGUUGAGUUCCAGGAUGAAGAAUGAAAGACAGAGAGCAAUGUGAAGACAUCAAAGAAUGUGCAGGUCUGCCAUGAAAUGGUUUAUCCAGGGCUAAGUACAGAGAGGAAUAUAGAAGGGCUGUUGACAGAUCUUGUGUGGUGCCCCCAUGGUUCAACAGACUGAUUGAUAGAAAAUAAUACCAGGGUAAUGGUCCUUUCACUGUUGAGUUCCAGGAUGAAGAAUGAGAAAGACAGAGAGCAAUGUGAAGACAUCAAAGAAUGUGCAGGUCUGCCAUGAAAUGGAUUAUCCAGGGCUAAGUACAGAGAGGAAUAUAGAAGGGCUGUUGACAGAUCUUGUGUGGUGCCCCCAUGGUUCAACAGACUGAUUGAUAGGUAAU